RNA transcript from Cavia porcellus (domestic guinea pig), 6280 nucleotides. It is a transcript of the gene named coronin 7, with no coding region annotated. The record is from RefSeq and is a predicted model, not a curated record. The transcript is spliced from 30 exons. NCBI's taxonomy places the organism in Eukaryota, Metazoa, Chordata, Mammalia, Rodentia, Caviidae.
GCUUCGCGGGUGGGGCUGCCGGCUUCGGGAGACGCGGGUUCUCAGCCUGCACCUGAGAGUCAACACUCUGGUCCUUCAGGCUGCUCCCAGUCGGUCCCCGCCGCCAUGAACCGCUUCAAAGUGUCCAAGUUCCGGCACACGGUGGUCCGACCAUCUCGCCGUGAGGCCUGGAUCAAUGACAUUCGUGCAGGAACUACUCCCUCCUGUGGGAAUCAUAUCAAAUCAAGCUGUAGCUUGAUUGCCUUCAAUUCUGACCGUCCAGGUGUGUUGGGCAUUGUGCCUCUGGAAAGCCAAGGAGAGGACAAGAGACAGGUGGCCUACCUGGGAUGCCAUUCAGAUGUGAUCACUGACUUGGACUUCUCUCCCUUUGAUGACUUCCUCCUGGCCACCAGUUCCACUGACAGGAUGGUAAAGCUCUGGCGACUGCCAGACCCUGGCCAGGAUUUGCCCUCGGGGCCUGGAUUGGUACUGGGUCCUGAGGAGCUGCCAGUGGAAGUACUGCAGUUCCACACCACUGUGGAUGGCAUUCUGGUGACUGCAGCAGGCAGGGCUGUGAAGGUGUGGGAUGCGGCCAAGCAGCAGCCCCUGACAGAGCUGGCAGCCCAUGGAGACCUAGUGCAGAGUGCUGUCUGGAGCCGGGACGGAGCCCUUGUGGGUACUGCAUGCAAGGAUAAGCAGCUACGGAUCUUUGACCCCAGGGCAAAGCCUGAGGCCUCUCAGAGCGUGCAGGCCCACAUGAACAGCAAGGAUAGCCGGGUGGCAUGGACAGCCUCCCAGGAGCACCUUGUAUCCACUGGAUUCAACCAGAUGCGUGAGCGAGAAGUGAAACUGUGGGACACUCGACUUUUCACCAGUGCCCUGGCCUCCUUCACCCUGGAUACCUCUCCUGGGUCUCUGAUACCCCUGCUGGACCCAGACUCCGGGCUCCUGGUCCUGGCAGGAAAGGGUGAGAGUCAGCUGUACUGUUACGAGGUGGCCCUGCAGCAACCAGCACUGAGCCCAGUGACCCAGUGCAUCCUGGAGAAUGUGCUACGAGGGGCAGCCCUUGUGCCCCGGCGAGCACUAAGUGUUAUGGACUGCGAGGUACUCCGUGUCCUACAGCUGAGUGAUGCAGCCAUUGUACCCAUUAGCCACCAUGUGCCCCGGAAGACUGUAGAGUUCCAUGAGGACUUGUUCCCGGACACAACUGGCUGCAUUCCUGCCUCCAACCCCUAUACCUGGUGGUCCGGGAGCAACCAGCAGGUGCAAAAGAUCAGCCUCAACCCUGCAUGCCGGCCGUAUCCCAGUUUCACUUCCUGUCUGGUGCCCCCCACGGAGCCUCCGUCUGUCACAACCCAGCCUGCAGAGACACCAGAGGCCAACACAGACCCAAGUGAGGGCUUCUCUUCUCCUCCAAGCUUGCUGACAUCACCCUCCACACCCUCCAGCUUGGGGGCCUCACUUUCCAGCACCAGUGGCAUUGGCACCAGUCCCAGUCAGAAGUCACUGCAGAGUCUUCUAGGCCCCAGUUCCAAGUUCCGCCAUGCUCAGGGCACUGUCCUGCAUCGAGACAGUCAUAUCACCAACCUCAAGGGGCUUAACCUCACCACACCUGGUGAGAGUGAUGGCUUCUGUGCCAACCAGCUGCAUGUGGCUGUGCCUUUGCUGAGCAGUGGUGGGCAGGUAGCUGUGCUUGAGUUAAAGAAUCCUGGCCGCCUGCCUGACAUCGCACUGCCCACGCUGCAGAACAGGGCAGCUGUAACUGAUCUGGCUUGGGACCCCUUUGACCCUUACCGCCUCGCCGUGGCUGGAGAAGAUGCCCGGAUCCGACUGUGGCGGGUGCCCUCAGGGGGUCUGAAGGAUGUACUCACCACGCCAGAGGCUGUGCUCAUGGGCCACACAGAGAAAAUCUACUCUCUGCGCUUCCACCCACUGGCAGCCGAUGUGCUGGCUUCCUCUUCCUAUGACCUCACUAUCCGGAUCUGGGACCUUCAGGCUGGGGCCGAGCGGCUGAGGCUGCAGGGCCACCAAGACCAGAUCUUUGGUCUAAACUGGAGUCCUGAUGGGCAGCAGCUCGCCACUGUCUGCAAGGAUGGAUAUGUGCGGGUCUAUGAGCCCAGGAGUGGUCCUGAACCCCUUCAGGAAGGUCCAGGACCUGAGGGUGGCCGUGGAGCCCGAAUUGUCUGGGUAUGUGAUGGUUGCUGUCUGCUGGUGUCUGGCUUUGACAGUCGAAGUGAGCGCCAGCUGCUGCUGUACAUGGCUGAUGCCCUGGCCAGUGGCCCCUCAGCAGUCCUGGGCCUUGACGUGGCACCAUCCACCCUGCUGCCCAGCUACGACCCUGACACCAGCCUGGUCCUCCUCACGGGCAAGGGUGACACCCGUGUAUUUCUAUAUGAGCUGCUUCCUGAGGCUCCUUUCUUCCUGGAAUGCAACAGCUUCACUUCACCUGAUCCACACAAGGGCUUCAUCCUCCUGCCCAAGACCGAGUGUGACGUGCGGGAAGUGGAGUUUGCCCGGUGCCUGCGGUUGCGCCAAACGUCCCUAGAACCUGUUGCAUUCCGCCUUCCCCGAGUCAGGAAAGAGUUCUUCCAAGAUGAUGUGUUCCCGGACACAGCUGUGACCUGGGAGCCAGUACUCAGUGCUAAGGCCUGGCUGGGAGGUGCUAAUGGACAGCUCCAGCUGCUCAGCCUGCAGCCCCCUGGCAUGACCCCAGUGAGCCAAGCACCCCGAGAAGCCCCUACCCGGCGAGCCCCAUCCUCAGUGCAGUACCUGGAAGAGAAGUCAGACCAGCAAAAGAAGGAAGAGCUACUGAAUGCUAUGGUGGCAAAGCUGGGGAACCGGGAAGACCCACUGCCCCAAGACUCCUUUGAAGGGGUGGAUGAGGAUGAAUGGGACUAGCCUGCACACCAGUCACUUCUGGCCUCAGCUGUUGCUGCCACCUCCUAGAACCACUUUGUGCUCCUGCAUACCUCACAUCUCUCCAAACUGGAAGACAUCUCUGGCCCUGGCACACCCCAUCCCAGAAGCCCUGGUUUCCUGUGGGCUUUGGGCACUUUUGUGGCCACUGGGCUCACUUGCAAUUUCUUGAGAUUGUUUGCAUCUCUGCUUUCUCUAGGACCAGCUGCUUCUCCUCAGUUGCCUGCUAGCAUGUGAAUGGGGUUGGGAGGGAUGAGCAGCAUGUCCCUGGGCAGGCCCGGGGCUCCCUGUCUCUCCUACUCUUUCUGCUGACCCCGGCCAAUCCCAGCCUGGGCUGGCAUUGUCCAGCACUUUUGUUUACUACGUGCCAGUCAGUCUUGCCUGUUUCCCAGUUCCAGACAAAAGUAUGGGGAGCUGGCCCUCCACUAAGUCAUUUGAAGCAGCCUCCACCUCAGGGUUUGGGACCACUUGCCCUGCUUCCCAGGCUUGACGCCUGGAAAAGGAGCCUCACCAAACUGAUUGCUCGGUUGGUACAGUAUCAAUUCCACAGGGACCAGCUUGCAUACACCCUGGAUGUUUUUAACAAUUAAACUUUUUUAAGCUGGCCACUUUUUGUGUUCUCUGGUCUCUGACUAAAAAGGGGAUGGGGACACGAGUAUGUGAGAGUGGUUAGGCCCUGUGCUUCCAGUCCCAGCCUCAACUUUUCUUCUAAGGCUUUUUAGAUGCAGGCUGCUGGGAUUUCAUUUCAUUCAACACUCAGGAGCCCAGCAACAGCCUAGAUGUAUUAGCCUGCUGAAGUUAACAGGAAAGAGAGUUUUCCAGGGAGCUUAAAUUUAAUAUAACUUUGUUGCACAAGUGAACCCUGUACUGUCUGCAGGAGAACAGUGUUAAGAGAGCAUUUGAGAAGAAAGUAGUGAAAGGAUGUGAUUUAGAUUUAGAUGCAUGCCAGGAGAGUGUGGUGGUACACCUUUGUAAUGUCAGCAUCAGGAGGCUGAGGCAGGAGGAUUGCUAUAAGUUUAAGACCAGUCCGAGUUACACAGUGAGUUCAAGGCCAGGCUGAUUACAUUAAUAAGACCCUCUCACAGCAACAAAACAAAACAACAAAAAAGCCGGGGUAAGCCAGGGUAUUCAGGGAUCUGAGAGAAUGACUCAUUUAAUUUGAGAGCCAAGACCUGAAGGAGACAGCCAAACAGAGAGCCAGGAAGAAAACAUUUCAGACCAAAGGAAAGGCAGCGUAGGUGAUGGAAGAAAGAAUCUGGACAGCUAAGGAAACGGAAGGAAAGCAGGGCAGUGGUCUAUAGCAUAAUCCAAGGCAGCCCACUUUCAUCCAAUAACCAAAUAUUUGUGGGUGCUGGUCCUGUGCCAACACUCCACAGGGACAGAAUCCCUAAGUACAGAAUGCAGACUUGUGGUUUCAAGGGCUGGAGGUGAGAAGGGGUAGAGAAUGCUGAUAAGUGGUGACAUUGUUUUGAAACUAGACGUUUAUGUUAAUUGCACAGCUCUGUGAAUAUCCUAAAAGGCACUGACUGAAUUACAGAUUUUUUUUAAAGACAGGGUCUCGAAAUGUAGUUCAGGCUGACCUUAAAUUCACUGUGUAGCCUAGGCGGGGUUCGAACUCAUGGCUAUCCUUCUGUCUUAGCCUACCAAGUGCUGAGAUUCCAGGCAUGUACCACCAUGUCUGAUCAGAAUUACAGAUUUUAAGAAGGUGACUUGAGAGCUGGGUGUGGUAGCACAUUACCUAUAAUCCCAGCACUGAGAUGGCAGGAUCAUUGUAAAUUUUUAAAGCCUUGAGUUCAAGACUAGCUGAAAUUACAAAAUGAGACGGUGUCAAAAAACCACAAUAAUGCCAGGAAUAUAAGCCCAGUAGUACAAGCACCUGCCUGGCAAACACAAGGUACUCCGUUUGAUUCCUGGUACAAAAAGUAAAUAAAUAAAUAAUAGAAAGUGGGCUGGGGAUAUAGUUCAGCAGUGCAGCUCCUGCCUGACAAGUGCAAGGUCCUGAGUGGUACCCCCUCCCAGAUAAUAAUAAGCUGAGGCCAGGUGUGGUGGCACAUACCUAUAAUCCAGCUACUGAGUUGGUUGAGGCAAAAGGAUUACAAGUGUGAGGUCAGCACAGUAAGGUUUCACCUCAAAAAUAAAGGCUGGGUGUAAUUCCAGCACUGGGGUGGCUGAGGCAGGAGGAUCACUGUGAGUUCAAGGCCAGUUUAAACUGCAUAGGGAAACCCUGUCUCAAAAAAAUAAAUAUAUAAAAUAAAAUGAUCCAGAUCACAUGUGAAUUAUAUCUUAAAAAACUGUUACGAGGGCUGGGGAUAUAAUUCAGUGGCACAAGGCUUGCCUGGCAAAGUGCAAGAUCAUGAGUUGGAUCCUGGUACCAAAAAACAAAAACAAACAAACAAAAAACUGUCACCAAAAAUACACGAAGCCAGGUGUGGAGGUACUACGUACCAAUAUUGAGAUUAUCCUGAACUACACAGUGACCCUUUAUUUUAAAACACAAACCAAAAAACCGAAAGGAUGGAGGGUAUGUCACAGCACAAUGAAGAGCGUCAGGUAGACAUCCGCGAGUGUCAUCUGAGGGCAGAUGUGGAAGAAAUGAGUGUCCGUUAUCUCAUAAGCAGAAACCUUUGAAAUUCUUUUUUUUUUUUUUUUUUUGGUGCUGGGGCUCAAACUCAGGACUUCCUCGUGCUUGCCUGUGGCAGGGCUGGUGCGCCGAGCUAAAUCCCCUGCCCUGAAGUUCUUCGUUUUAUUAAAUAUUCCGGAGAAUUUGGCAUCCAACUCAAUACUGUGUCUGUUUAUUUUAUGUUUUGGUCCUAAAUAUUUUCGCGAAAUCAAAAGAAUAAACAGCCCCACAUUUGACCCAUUUCCCAGAAUCCUUACUCCUUAGUUGCUGGAGAACCACGGUCCUGCCGCGCCCUUCGCCCUUACGUGAGUCCAAUAGUCCUUUGAACCCACAGCAGGUUCCGCCCCCAAAGAGAUUCUGCUCCGCCCCGCGUACGUCACGGCCGGUGCUGGUUCCCGAGACCAUGACAAUGCGCAUGCCCAGCACUCCCUGGCGCACGCGCUCUCUGCUGUCUUUCUUAACCUCUGACCUGCCGGCCGCCCUUGAGCGAGGGCCGAGGGUCCAAGAAGCCCAAGCCCGCGGCCCGGACGCAUAGCAGUCGCCAUGAACUAUGAACACCUAUUUAAAGUGAAUGAUAAAUCCGUGGGUGGCUCCUUCUACUUGCAGUCAAAGGUCGUCCGUGCAAAGGAGCGCCUGGAUGAGGAACUCAGAAUCCAGGCCCAGGAGGACAGAGAGAAAAGGCAAACAUGACUGUUCAUCUCACCCCACCCCACCCCACACCACCGCCUCUUAAUUUAUAGCUUGGUAAUAAAUGUCUUUCCUGCA